GAUGAACGCUGGCGGCGUGCUUAAUACAUGCAAGUCGAACGGAAAGGCCCAAGCUUGCUUGGGUACUCGAGUGGCGAACGGGUGAGUAACACGUGGGUGAUCUGCCCUGCACUUCGGGAUAAGCCUGGGAAACUGGGUCUAAUACCGGAUAGGACGAUGGUUUGGAUGCCAUUGUGGAAAGUUUUUUCGGUGUGGGAUGAGCUCGCGGCCUAUCAGCUUGUUGGUGGGGUAAUGGCCCACCAAGGCGUCGACGGGUAGCCGGCCUGAGAGGGUGUACGGCCACAUUGGGACUGAGAUACGGCCCAGACUCCUACGGGAGGCAGCAGUGGGGAAUAUUGCACAAUGGGCGCAAGCCUGAUGCAGCGACGCCGCGUGGGGGAUGACGGCCUUCGGGUUGUAAACUCCUUUCGCUAGGGACGAAGCGUUUUUGUGACGGUACCUGGAGAAGAAGCACCGGCUAACUACGUG
RNAcentral lists this ribosomal RNA (468 nucleotides) under uncultured bacterium. RNAcentral's name for it is "partial 16S ribosomal RNA". It matches the Rfam family "Bacterial small subunit ribosomal RNA", at positions 28 to 507 of the family's 1533-position model. The record is from RNAcentral.